GGUUGACCUCGGAUCAGGUAGGGAUACCCGCUGAACUUAAGCAUAUCAAUAAGCGGAGGAAAAGAAACCAACAGGGAUUGCCUCAGUAACGGCGAGUGAAGCGGCAACAGCUCAAAUUUGAAAUCUGGCUCCUUGGGGGGUCCGAGUUGUAAUUUGUAGAGGAUGCUUCGGGCAAGGCUGCGGUCUAAUUUGCUUGGAACAGCGAGUCACAGAGGGUGAGAGUCCCGUCUAGGACCGUGCGCCGCGUCCAGGUGAAGCUCCUUCGACGAGUCGAGUUGUUUGGGAAUGCAGCUCUAAAUGGGUGGUAAAUUUCAUCUAAAGCUAAAUAUUGGCCAGAGACCGAUAGCGCACAAGUAGAGUGAUCGAAAGAUGAAAAGCACUUUGAAAAGAGAGUUAAACAGUAUGUGAAAUUGUUGAAAGGGAAGCGCUUGCAACCAGACUUGCGUGUGACGGUUCCCCCCACCUUCUGGUGGGGCUACUCCGUCAUCUCCAGGCCAGCAUCGGUUCGGGUGGUCGGUCAAAGACUCCGGGAAUGUAUCUACCUCCGGGUCGACUUAUAGCCCGGGGUGCAAUGCGGCCCACCCGGACCGAGGAACGCGCUUCGGCCCGGAUGCUGGCGUAAUGGUUGUAAGCGGCCCGUCUUGAAACACGGACCAAGGAGUCUAACAUCUAUGCGAGUGUUUGGGUGUUAAACCCCUACGCGGAAUGAAAGUGAACGGAGGUAAGAACCCCGUCCGGGGCGCAUUAUCGACCGAUCCUGAUGUUUUCGGAUGGAUUUGAGUAAGAGCAUAGCUGUUGGGACCCGAAAGAUGGUGAACUAUGCCUGAAUAGGGUGAAGCCAGAGGAAACUCUGGUGGAGGCUCGCAGCGGUUCUGACGUGCAAAUCGAUCGUCAAAUUUGGGCAUAGGGGCGAAAGACCAAUC
Molecule: ribosomal RNA, 923 nt
Filed under: Verrucaria aethiobola
Lineage: Eukaryota; Fungi; Ascomycota; Eurotiomycetes; Verrucariales; Verrucariaceae
Description: eukaryotic LSU rRNA
Rfam family: Eukaryotic large subunit ribosomal RNA
Source: RNAcentral